RNAcentral lists this ribosomal RNA (393 nucleotides) under uncultured bacterium. Its description in RNAcentral is "partial 16S ribosomal RNA". It matches the Rfam family "Bacterial small subunit ribosomal RNA", at positions 523 to 918 of the family's 1533-position model. The record is from RNAcentral.
AUACGGAGGAUCCGAGCGUUAUCCGGAUUUAUUGGGUUUAAAGGGUGCGCAGGCGGGAGAUUAAGUCGGCGGGGAAAUUUUGCAGCUCAACUGUAAAAGUGCCUUCGAAACUGGUUUCCUUGAGUGUAGAUGGAGUAGGCGGAAUUUGUGGUGUAGCGGUGAAAUGCAUAGAUAUCACGAGGAACUCCGAUUGCGCAGGCAGCUUACUAAACUACUACUGACGCUCAGGCACGAAGGCGUGGGGAUCAAACAGGAUUAGAUACCCUGGUAGUCCACGCAGUAAACGAUGAUUACUAGCUGUUUGCGAUACAAUGUAAGCGGCUGAGCGAAAGCGUUUAGUAAUCCACCUGGGGAGUACGUUCGCAAGAAUGAAACUCAAAUGAAUUGACGGGG